This is an RNA transcript of Lycium barbarum (goji berry), 3218 nucleotides long. RefSeq lists it as uncharacterized. The transcript is spliced from 4 exons. Lineage: Eukaryota; Viridiplantae; Streptophyta; Magnoliopsida; Solanales; Solanaceae. The record is from RefSeq and is a predicted model, not a curated record.
UCGGCUUUCUAUUGAAUAAUUAACUAAGUCCAAAACAAAGCAAAUAGGUUAGGCCCUAAAGUGACCCAACCCCAAAUAAUAACAUUUGAUACCAGAAAAGUGUAGAUCAAGCCCAUUAAGGACCCGAUCCCCUAUAUUCUACAACUUUCGUUUAGGAAAGUUUGAGUUGCCUUGGUAGGGCAACAAAACGUAUCUGUGCUUUUGCCGUUCUUUUGUCUUCUGCAGCUAUGUCCUAGCUAUUGUUGACUACUCCAUCUUCCAUUUUCCUCUCCUCUAAUAAUAAUUUCUUGAUUCAGAAGAGUGUUUUCAUAACUUUGCUCCAUCAGAAGAUUUAUGCAAUGAAAAUCACCUGGAUUAGCUCCAGCACCAGUUGAAGACCAUUUCAGAUGUCAAAUAUUUCAUCGUUAAUUAAACACUCUGGAUUUUGGAACGAUGAAAAUAAAUAUGUCAAUUACAAAAUUGAUGCGGUCACAUUCAAAGAGUAUUCUACGUAUGUUGAAUCUGUAGAAACAAUUGCAACACAGCUGAAUUUGGAUAAAUUCCGAAAGAACAUACACGUAAACUACGCUGUUGAAGGUGAUGAAAUCCCAAUUGAAAUUCACAAUGAUAUGGGUGUAAAGGUGUAUGUUGAGUUGAAGAAAGAGAAUAAAGCAUUAGCAAUGUAUCCGCUGUGUAUAACUACAAAUGAUAGGAGUUUGGAGAUAUGUUUAUCCGGAGAGAGUUAUGUUCAUGGUAAUCACUUGCAAAUAGGUUACACGAAUCAAUCAUCAUUGGGAGAAACAGUUGGUUCGGAAGAAUUAGCAUCAUCUAGUUGUGGACAGGCUGAUGUGUUGUUUGAAAACAAACAAUUCAUGGUUAUAGACGACAUAAACCAAAAGGUAGUUGCUGUCGAUCAAGCUUACAAAGACAAGGAUACUUUAAAAACUGUGAUGGCGAAUUAUGCGAUUACAAACCGAUUCAACUUCCACACAGAAAGGUGUAAUGCAACGAGGUAUUUCAUUUUACCAUGUAUAUUGUGUAUUUGAAAUUGUGACUAUGCUUAUUUAUAAUGUCAGUAACUGUGUAUAUUUAAUUUACAGUGUAUGUUUAAAACUGUUAUAGUGUAUGUUCAGAAUGUAUUUUUUACAAAUUUGUACGUGCAAACAGUUUUCUUUUACAUUAUGUAUUUUAAAAACUUGUUUUUAUAUAUAUCAGUAUUUAAUAAUGAUUUGAUUAUAUUUAUUUGUGGUCAUUAUUGAAUUUGACUUUAAUGUAUUUUUAACUCAUGCUCAUUAUAUGUAGCUACACACUUGUCUGCGUAUCUGGUGAUUGUGAUUGGAAAUUGAGGGCGUAAGUAUAGGGAAGUUUGAACUUUUUAUAAUUAGAGAGUUUCAAGAUAAACAUACAUGUCCCCUAAAGGAAAAGGUUUAUUCCCAACGACAAGCUACGAGUCGAUUGAUAAGUGGAAUUGUUAAACCAAAAAUAGCAAAUCAUAAGAGGAAAUACACUCCUAAAGACAUUGCAGAGGAUAUAAAAAAUGAUUUUGGCAUGGAUGUUUCAUACUUGGUUGCGUGGCGGGCAAAGGAAAAGGUGAUGAUUGAUUUGAGGGGUACAAUGGCUGAAUCGUAUAACCGGCUACCUGGUUACCUAUAUAUAUUGGAUAAAACAUAUCCUAGUUCAAAUAUAAAAAUGCGUAAAACCAGAGAGAAUGAAUUUCUAUAUGUUUUUAUUGCUCUCUAUGCAUUUAUCAAGGGAUUUGAGUGUUGUCGACCAAUUGUGGUUGUUGAUGGUAGCCACUUAAAAACACCCUUCAAUGGGACAUUUGUAUCUGCAAGCACAUUAGAUGGUGCAGGUAUGUCUAAAAUUCACGAUGCCUUUUGUUUAUUAAUCUUAAUAACUACAAAUACAAUAUGUUUUUUUACUAAAGAAAUACUUACAUAUAUGCAGGUAAUAUACUGCCCCUAGCAUAUGGUGUGCUUGAUUCUGAGAAUGACAAAUCUUGGACGUGGUUUUUCGAGCGUUUCAGAGAAACAUACGGAGUAAGAGAGAACAUGUGUAUCGUAUCCGAUAGGCAUGAGAGUAUAAACAAAGUUGUUUUCAGAAUCUAUCCAGAAGUCACACAUUAUGCAUGUAUAUGGCAUCUAUGGGGUAAUGUAUGUCAAAGAUAAAGGAAAAGCCAUGAUAUUUUGUUGCCUGUUUUUUAUUCAAUGGCAAAAGCAUAUACGCAAGAUGAGUUUGAUGAGUUGAUGCUUAAGGUUCAGAAAGUAGAUUUGCGGGUUGCAGAGUAUUUGGAUGAAGCUGGUAGGGAUAGGUGGGCUAGAGUCUAUGCAACUGUUAACCGAGGUUAGACAAUGACUUCUAACAUUGUGGAAUGUAUUAACAAACAUCUUCUAGCUACUAGAGAACUGCCGAUAUAUGACUUUCUGGAAGAGAUUCGAAAGAUGUUUGGUAGAUGGAAUUACAAUAAUAGGAGAAAUGGAACAUACACGUUCACCACACUAGGUAAAAAAUUCCAAGAGAUGCUGUCAAUCAAUGAGUAUUUAUGUCUACGAAUGACGAUUGAACCAUCAAUAGAAUUUGUGUACACGGUACAUGAUGGACGAAGGCGUUUCAUUAUUAAUCUGAGUAACAAAACAUGCAGUUGUCGUAUGUUUCAAUUAGAUGAAAUCCCAUGUCCGCACGCAUGGGCUGUUAUAAAACAGAAACAUUUGGUUGUUGAUGAUUAUUGCUCUGAUUUAUUCAAGCCGGAGACAGUUGUAAAGACAUAUGAUAUUGCUGUGGAUCCUCUACUAGAUGAGAGUGAAUGGAAAAUUUCAAAAGACAUCUUGGAUGAAGUAUUGUUGCCGCCGAGAUACAAAAGACCACCUGGUAGGCCAAAGAAGAGGCGUGACAAACCUUUACAUGAAUUAAUGGCUGGAAAAAAGAGACAUGCUUGCAGUACUUGUGGACAACUUGGACAUAACAGGCGUUCGUGUGGUUUUGAGUCUAGGAGGAAAUGAUUUGGUUUCAAUUAUGUUUUUAUUAUCGUACACUUAGUUAGGGAAAUACUCCGGAUUUUUUUAAGAAUAAGGACAAAUGUGUCAAUAAUUUCUAUUGACACUUAUUAUCUGUAUUUCUGUAAUUUUUGUUUUGUAUAAAUGUUUGUCGUAAAAUUCAUUGAUUACUGUCAACAUAUGUACAAAUACAUCUAGUUUACAGUAUAACAAUCAUCAAUAAUUCAUGAACAGAGGCUAAACAAA